GAAGAUUUUUAUCAAUAUGAAGGUUCAUUUAACCAUUUUUUGAUGUUAUUUUCUGCGAUAACAAUAUUUUCUGCAAGGGCCCAUCAACAAUAUUGGUCUCUGGCAAAAAUAAUGUUGGACGAAUUCUUUAGACACUUUGGGAAAUAUUAUGGACGGUCUAACAUAACCAGCAAUGUUCAUAACCUUCAGCAUGUUGCUCAUGAAGUUGAAAAGCUUGGGCCUCUGGAUUUAUAUUCCGCAUACGAUUAUGAAAAUAAUUUAAGAUUUAUUAAGCAAGACGUAAAAUCAGGCACUAAUAUAGUUGAACAAGUAGCUGGUCGUCUAACCGAACGCAGUCAAGUAGUAAAAGCCAAAAACAUCGCGAAACUUAUAUACCCGAGACUUAGACCAAACGGCCGUUUCUUUAUUACCGAGGAUUUUUCCCUUCACACACAGUUCCAGAACCAAUGGUUUUUAACUGAAGAAAGGAAUAUUAUUAAAUUUGUAAAAGCAAAGAAAGAUGCUUGUGAUUCCUUUAUAAUUGUUGGCGAUUUAAUCGAAUCAUGUGAGGAACUUUUUAAUGUAGUGUCUGAUGAGGACAAUGUGAUAACAGAUAUACAUUUAUCAUCGACUGAAAUUUGUAUCUACAAAGUUAAGCUUAAUGUCCCUACAAUAAGGGUAGAGGUCCCCUGUACAUCUGUGCUAUGUAAGCUCGUUCCAAUUUUUAAACCAUCGCGGUCUUUAUUGCAAAUGCCUGUAAGGACAACACCCCAGCCAAAUUCAAUAGCUUUAUUUCCUUUGUUACACACGUUUAGGAACGCAUAAUAUGUAAAAUAGUUUAUUAAAAAUUAAUCAACUAAAAACAAGUCGUUUAUUUAUUUACUAAUCGUGAUUUUAACAUUAAUAAAUGACAUGAUUUUUAUUAAUUUAAAAUUUCAGUUAAAUAAAUAACUUUGGUUUUUGCGGCACCGCAUCGAACUCAAAAUAGAAAAGAGCUUAUGGGUACCAACUGUAAAAGUAAACGAACGAACAUAUUUUAAUAGUUCACGUAUAUUUAACUAAACAUUAUUUAUAGAGCCCAGGUCUAUUCCAUCUCUUAUAAAACUAAUAUGUUCCUAACAAAGUAAUAGUCAACAAUACUAAAAUAACUUAACUAGUUCGUUUGUUUUUUGUUUCGCUUGUGCGCUUUAUGCACUACGCUUUUAGUUAUUCCUCUUGUUAAGCUUGCACUUUUUGCAUUACUAAUUUUGUUUUUUAAGAAUUGCUCGACAUCUUUUUCUGUUGUCUGGGCACCUCCUACCCGUUUGAAGACAUUCAGAAUGUUUCGGUAUGCCACUAACGCUACCUUUUCCGAGCCAUUUCGCGAAACACCUCUCCAAUUGCACUGUACCACAAACUUACGACAGAACACAUUGUAAAAUGAUUCGUGAAUCCUUUGAAAUUUAUCUGUUGAUUGCAUUUGUGCUUUUAACCAGUUUUCUAACGCUUCUGCAUUAGAUGUUAAUGAAAGACUGGACUCUAAACUGUCCAGUUGUUGCUUGUUGGUAACGACCGCAGGAUGAAACAUCGGUCGCUGGACAGUGCUUUCUGUUUCCAGAUUAGUUUCGUUGCUUCUUUCCUUAAAUGCAUUCGUAUUUACAAUAUCCUUUAUUGCAACAGAAAUGCCAGCCACCACCGUGGUCAUUCGUGCCGUUUGCACAAGAUUUGCUUGUGUAGCAGAUUUGAUAAGCUGCAACUCCUGCAAAAUGUUUUCUCCAGGAUUGUUCGCCAUUUUGUUCUUGACUGUAACAUUACCAAAAUAUUAAAUGGAAAUAUUUUAACAAUUUGUGGUAACUACUUACUUUUGUGAACUAAAUUAUCGUUUAACUAAGCGUAUUGUAAUCGCAAAAUUUAAGCAGUCCACAAUCUGUUUCGGCGUACAUAAACAAGUGCAUUCACGUUUGAAUCUUCAACAUAGAAUGGAAAAGGUUUUGCAUGAAAAACAGUCAACCUUAUGUCAUAUAGAGGCUAAAAAUAAUUCAAGUGAAUAUUUUCUUGGAGAUUGUUAAAUUAUUUCGCCGUAAAGUUAUAAUUUAGAACAUAUAUUUAUUUCUGAUUUAAAUAUAAUUUAAAAUAAUGACGACAAUGCCCUUUUUCAAAUAGUUUUAGGCUUUAAAAAGAAAUAUAACACACAUACACCAUCAAUAAUAUUGACAUUAUGGCUGCUGUCACAAUUAUUGACCGACCUGUCUCAAAGCAAUGUUAGCGCGUUUGACAGUUCAAUCAUUGUUGGUGUUUGCAGCAGCCAUGGCGAGCAAAAGAAAUCUGUUUGCCAAAAAAGUUGUCUUUACAAGGCAAAAUAGCUAGUUCAUGUAAGUUAAAUUGUAAUAUAAUGUCCCAUUAAGUAUUUUUUAACAGGUGUGUCGCAAAUUCUAAGCGUGAUGUGAAUAACAAGACGAAAAAAGGAUCCUCGAAAUUGCUCAACAGCUAGCAAUCAACAGCACCAUGCUUCACUGCAUUACCAAUGAAUGCAUUUAUUCUACGCUGUGCCAUUCAACUAUGGUGUAAAAUACUUCAUGAACACACGGAGGAAAUCAUCACACGAAGAAGUGCCGGUACAGAAGGAAAAAGGCCCCCGAAAGAGUGAUAAAUUAGUCGAUGAAGUGAAGAUUAUUAUUAUAAUGCGUUGUAAAUUGCUUAUUGUUACGUAAAAUGUUAAAAUAUAUCCCUUUUUUGAAACGA
Molecule: long non-coding RNA, 2700 nt
Organism: Anopheles arabiensis
Lineage: Eukaryota; Metazoa; Arthropoda; Insecta; Diptera; Culicidae
Exons: 2
Source: RefSeq, a predicted model, not a curated record